UUCUGAGUUUGAGAGUUUGAUUUCUCAACGCCAACUUGGAAAUUGUUACAAAACCUUAGAAAAUAACCCUUGGAGUAUUACGUUAAGAGAUAUUACUUCGCUGUGCAAAGGCACUUAAAUUACUACUAGCUUUCUGAAUAUGAAAUUACCUUAGGGAAAUAAAAGAUAAGGGCCAUCUGAACACAUGAAUACUUUCACUUAUUGUGACUCUGAAUUUGGAAAUGGGCAGUGGGGGUAAGGGAAGAUUAUUAUCGUCAUUGAAAAUAUUCAGAUUGGAAAGUCUGUGUCUCAGUGGAUUUCACUAACUUUGCUAAAUGAAUCAGACUGAUGACUCAAACAAGAGCGAAAAGGGAAAGUGAUUUCCGUGAAAACCAAGUGUUGAGCGUCUUGUCUUGGUGACCCAAUACUGGGUGCGCGCGCGCAGAGUGGCCAGACCUUCUCCACGCAGCUCUGGCUCUGUACAAUUCCGCAAGCGCACCCAAGGCAGAAAUGCCACCAGUAUACCGCUUCAGAUGAUGGGCUUGGGUGUUCAGCAUUACACAGCGCCACCAGCGCUUCUUUUUUUCUCUCCGAAGUCAGACACUCUCAACAGCACCAGCAGCAGAUAGCCCUAUGUGCGCUACAACUGGUGGGGCGGGGAGACCUGGCGCUCAACCCGCCAGCACGGCUGGUGCUGACGUCCAUUCAGGCCUUUAAAUGUGUGUCUCCCUACGCAGGAGAGAACAGACUUUGUAGCAGUCACUUUGCCCGAAGGGAGACGCGUCAAGCGACAGCUCUGACUCCCCGCUCUCUUCCUGGAGCUGCGUUUAUCUCUGUCCUCUUUGCACCAAGUCCCUGCCAGCCACUCCAGCAAGAGGCGCAUUUGGUACAAGCACCUCAAGCGUGAACCAACAGGACUCCCCAUGCCCCGUGCUUUUCCGAUGGACUUGAAGAUGAAAGAUUGCGAGGUGUGCCCGGAGAUCGCUCCAGGAGCAGGGAGCAUCUUCUAGAUUUUGGCCUUCUAGCUGGGCGGUGAGUAGAUAGCGGGGCGCGCAGUGUGGCAGCGGCAGCGGAGAUUGGCGCGGUCAGAAGCAGCGGAAGGGAAGAAGCUGCUGCUGGGGACUCCCUGGGUGACCCUUUGCCAAGCAAAAGAGCCAGAACCUUCCGGGACGCUGGUGCCUGCACACUGGAUUUUAAACACCAUCCUGGUUGUGAGACUCUGUCCCUUUUUCUCAAUUGGUAACUAGUGGAGAGCGAAGCGCUUGGCAGGAGCGCUCUGCGGGACCUAACCUCCUGGCUGCUUGGGAUCUGUGCGUCCGCUGCUGCGGAAGGAGCGAAGUGGAGGACGCCAGCCGUUGCUUACUGGAGCCUGGAGGAAAAUGGAAGCUUCACUCACUAGAAACAGUUGAAGUUGCCAGAACCUGUGUUUGACAGAGGGAUAAGACAACAGCACCAGAAUUUGCGUGGUCAUGUUUCUGAAUAGUAUGCCCAAGAUCUACAAAUAAGGGAUGUGCAAGAGGCAGCCUUGUCAAGAAAACUUACUUCAUAAUCUUCCAUGGACUAAAGAUGAAACUUUAAACUGCAAAUCAACCUUGAGUGGAUUUUGACGGAAGAUGUUGCAACAGUUUUUUCUCUGGAAAUGUUUAGCUUCGGGGAUCAUCAUUGGCUCUCUCUUUGCAGCUUGCUUUGGCCAAUACGAUGAUGGUAAGGCUGCUUUUAGUCUGACCUUUAGAGCCGGCAGGAAUUUCUUUUAUUAAAUUAAAAACGAAACACACCAGAGAA
Ictidomys tridecemlineatus (thirteen-lined ground squirrel) is the source of this 1761-nucleotide non-coding RNA. NCBI's taxonomy places the organism in Eukaryota, Metazoa, Chordata, Mammalia, Rodentia, Sciuridae. The record is from RefSeq and is a predicted model, not a curated record.